Molecule: long non-coding RNA, 10352 nt
Filed under: Brassica napus (rape)
Lineage: Eukaryota; Viridiplantae; Streptophyta; Magnoliopsida; Brassicales; Brassicaceae
Description: long non-coding RNA (BNAP_LNC003669)
Source: RNAcentral
UGAGCUUAGUGUAAAUGUGAAUAUGUAGGAGACAGAGCAAAGAAAGAGAAACAUCUUGUACUCUUGACCAUGUCCUCUUUUUCCUUUUCUUUAAGUUUUGGUAGUCACAGUAAAUACUUGCUUGAAAGUCAAUGAUAAUUGUAAUAUGCCUUUUCACAGAUCUUUUUUCAUUACACAGACAGAACAAAAACAAUGAGUUAUAGCCACAAAUCUAAUAGGCUUACAUGAAGAAUAUCUCUUCUAAGCUGGGCUUUUACGUUUUUGAGGGCUAAAACGUUUCCAAAAGUCACACUAUACAAAUAUCAGUCAAUCACAUACUUAGAGCAUCUGCAACAGUGAAUCCUCUAUGGAGUUCACACAGAUUUCCAGAAAAAAAAUAUUAAAAUAAUAAAUAGUGUUGAACCCCAUCUCUUUCCAGCUCUUCCCACUAAACCUCUGUCCAACGAGUUCAACACUGUUUCGCGGACUCCACGACACGUGGCGGUCUGCAACUGAUUCGAUUUUUUUAUUUUUUUAAAUCAAACAGUAAAACAAAAAUAAUAAUAAAAAAUUAAAAACAUGAAUUCUAAGAAAAUUUCACUGAUGCAGAUGCUCUUACAAUAAGGUAGAAACGAUAUAAACAUUCUUUGCUAAGCAAUCACAGGGCUUCACGUGUCCAACGACGAUCGAUCAAUCUUUCAUCACUAUAACCUUAAAUGUAUAAUAUUUACACAAACACCACUUGCUCCAAUACUUUUCAACGCCCCGAUUGGAAAAGUUGUGAACGUCCCGAUUCGGUAGGUUUGAAUGAAGGAAUUCAAGUCCUUCCUGUACCUAAAUAAAGGUCAGAAAGGUAAUUACCCAAAUCCUUAGGGACGUAUCUGACAAUAUCCCCCCAUGUCUCCACGUGGUACUUUUCAUAAAACAAAGAAGCAACAUAAGUUAGCUUCUUCGCCACGGAAUCUUUCAAACCCUCUCUCAUUUUAGUAUCCGGCACGACCCAACCGCUCUGCUUCCGAAACGCUUCCUCAAACNNNNNNNNNNNNNNNNNNNNNNNNNNNNNNNNNNNNNNNNNNNNNNNNNNNNNNNNNNNNNNNNNNNNNNNNNNNNNNNNNNNNNNNNNNNNNNNNNNNNUCUCGGAGAUCCCACCUUGUAAAGAAGGUCGCUCUUCUCGGCCCUCGAAGACGAGUCUUGGAGCGUAGGUUUGUUCUCCGAUCCCUGAGCUUACGAUGGCUUUGAGAAGGAACUUGUAUUCGUUUAAACCGAGGUUCUUGUUUCGGUGAAUGAUUUCUCCGCUGAACUGAGUGCUCACCAUUCGGUCGUCCGAUGGUUUAUGACAUUGGUAGUCUAAGAUGUAGCAGUCUUUGUCUUUCUUUGAGUCUAUGAGUUUACAGAUCUUGAAGAAGAGAUACGAGAGAAGAAGGGAGAAGAAGAGAAGGAGAAGAUCCAUAUUAUUAUUCUUUUUCUUUAUUUUUUUGUUUGUGUGUUUGUUUUUUGGGGUUAAGAAGAGAUGAUGAAGUGAGUAAGCUGCAUGAGAAUAUGGUGGAGAUUGUGAAGGGGAUUAUAUAAGAUAAAUCAUUAGAAUGGAUGAGGAAACGACAGCUCUGAACGUUUCAGUGGGUUCUACAUCUCCGUUGAUUUUUUUUUGUUUGGUGAGAACUUUAAUAUUUUAGAAUAAACAAAACUAAAUAUACUUAUUUCUACAGCCCAAGUUUGCGGUGAAUUUUGUGACUUAGGAUUUAGGAGAUAAGUGGGGACGCGUUGAUGUUGAUGUAAAUGGAUAUGCAAUGUAGAAGAAGUCUUAACUUGCUCCUUUAUUAAAACACAAAGAAGCUUUCUUACAACAAGGCUACGGUUUACCAUUAUGUAAUUGUAGUAUUUAUAGCACUGUCGAUACUUUAUUUUCGUCUAUUGUUGAGUUGUCGAAUCUUAUCUCGCGAACAUGAACAUGUUGUGUUUUCAUAUCGGCUGGACACAUAACCUAUCCUCCUCCUUUUUGGAGUUUUUGUUUCUCUCUUUAGUACAACGUAUUUGUGAGUUCGCUUGUAGAAAUUUAUCGUAUAACUACGAAAUAGUCACGAUGCGUUUGUGACUAAUUUUUAAAAAAUCAUUAAAUUAUCACAGAUAGUAAAAAAAAUCAAAAAUAUGACCAGUCACAAAUAUAUCAUGAUUAAAAAUUAGACAUGCUUUACUAUAAAUAUUGAUAUACUUUGCUUGGUUUAAAUUAUGUUUUAAAGCUUCGAUUUGGGAUCAAAAGUCGUUGAUUACUGAUAUAUGCUAAUUUUUAAAAAGAAAAAUAUAAGUAUAGCAAAAGAAGAGGCUAAAACAGAAUUGAGCUCAUUUUCUUUGUUUGGCUAUGCAAAGUGAUUACCACAUAUGCUAUAAAUCAUUCAUAAUAUCUAGAUCGACUAUUACCUAUAUAUAGAUGCUAAGAGAUAUUCCCUAUACCACAUUUCUUUUGAUGUCUAGCACUCAAUUUUAAUUUCGUAGUUUGGUUCUAUGAAUUAUAAUUAAAGAGAACUUUAAAAUGUGAGUCUGAGCAAAGCAAGGGAGGAGACAAGUAACCCAAAAAUUAAAUUAAAUACAUGCAAGAGAGUGAAGUUAUCUUGAGUCAUCUCAACGUCCACCAACCGAAUGUGGUUUGAGUAGAGGAUUACGUAUUAAUCUUUCAUUAGCAAACCCUUUGUCUCACACCUUCUGCGUGCGUUUCUUCGUAUUUCUUCACCUUCUCUUCCGUCUGUUGUUCUAAACACCUAGUAUGUCUUUACUUAAUCUUUCUCUCUCUCUCUCCUAGUAUGUAUUUAAUUCAUCUCCCACUCCAACAAAGUUAGGUGUACAUGUAUAACCUUAAUGUGUAUUACGUCUCCCGAAACUUACUACUAUCAAAGUAUCAAUGACAAUGUGGAGUAAUUUCAAUAUACUCGUUUCUGUAAAUAGGAACUUUUAGACUGCCUAGUUCUGCCGUUUUAAUUGCAGUGGCAAAAUUUGGAUUUGAAAUGUAUUUUGAUAUCUAUUCUAUUAAAACAGCAACAUGACCUAUUGAUAUAGUUGUGGUCCAACUAUUUUAGUACAAUUAUUAAAACUUCUUAUUAAUCAUUUAAGAUAAAUAUUAUACAAAAAACAAAUAUAACUAAAACACACACAAAUAUAAAAAUUAAAUUUCUCAAAAAAUGUAAAACAAAAAAUAUACCGCCCUUAAAAGGGCGGGUCGGAAUAUAAUUUUACAUUUUUAAGACAGAUUCAGUUACCGACUUUUUUCUCCAACAAUACAACGGUCCUGGAGUCCAGUUUAGAGUCCAAUAAUAUUAAAAUAACAUAUAUUAUUUUAGAUUUAUAAAUACAGUAAAUAACAUUCUCCCUGGCAAAAUAUUAUACACAACUGGUGUUCAAAGUUGAUGGAUAAGUUAUUUACAAAUUAUCAUGUAAAAAAGGAAUAAAUAUAUAUAUUUGUUUUUUGUUAUUUCUAAUCAGAAUUUGACAGUUAUUUAAUUAAAGAGCAUAAUUUUCUAUGAGCACUAAGCCCAGUAUCACAGCAAAAAAAUUACUAAUAUAUAUAUAUAUAUAUAUAUUUUUUUUUUUGUUAUACCUAAUCAAAAUUUGACAGUUAUUUAAUUAAAGAGCAUAAUUUUCUAUGAGCACUAACCCCAGUAUCACAGCAAAAAAUUACUCAUUAUGUACUUUGCUUUUAACUUAACUAAUUUUCUUUAUUAACCAUAUGUGAUAUGCAUUAGUGUGACAAGCUAGUUGAAUAACGACUAUUAGUAAUUUUGUAGUCGGCAAAUUAGAAUAAUACGAACAGAAAAUGAAAACAAAUAAUUAGCAUUGAGUACUGUAAAUACUAUAUCUUCAUAGUUGAAUAAUAGUUUUUUUUUUCUGAAAGACGUAUAGUGAAUAAUACUUUUUCUUUUGUUUGUAAAAGAUCCAAACUGUAGAAGACUUAGUAAUCUGAAAUGUAUUUCCUUUGUCAAAAUAAAAUAAUCUGAAAUGUAUUUCAUAGCGUUUACAUUAGCAAUUAAUUAGUAAUCCUCUUUAUUAAAAAAUGAACAAAAUAAACAUAUUUUUAACAAAUAAACAUUUUUAACUUUUUGGACAAAUAACAUUUUUUAACUAAGUAAACACUUUUGGUGUGAAGUUAUAAUCAGUUGUCAAUUCUAGUUUGACUUUCACAUUAUGGUUUAGAUAGAAUCAUGGUAAGAAUAAGAUGAUUGAAAAGUUGGUUGUUUGAUAGAUUGACGACGAAAUGUAUAUAAAUGCAGUCAACAAGGCUGCUAGAAAUUGUGUCAAAAUCUAUUUAUACCAGUGAAAGCAAAGAUUGUACUUAAAGAGUCUUGGAGACUGAGAUUAUAAAUGAGGAGACGACAUUAGUAGUCAAGCAAGACGACUUCGUCCGAUUUUCUUAUAUAUUAAUUUUCUUUAGAAAAUGGAUAUAACAAAGCUGCAAUCGCCGUUAUAAUCCCAAUAAAUACACAUUCAUAACAAUACAAGAAUCAAUCAAAUGCAUGAGGUGUAUUUUUUUUAAAUGCACGAAGUUGGAUGUGCAAAAUAAACAGUGACAAAGAUUGAUACCAAACACAUUAACAUUCUCCACUUACUAUCCAUUAUCUGCCUGGUCAACUCUGUAUAUUAUCACACUUACUUGGUCCUAUAAUGUAAGUGCGAUAAGAAAGGAACAAUGGUAGACACAUAGAGACACCAAGGCCAAUGACAGCAACGAUAAAGAUCAUCGACAAAAUAUUUUGAACAUGAUCAUUGCUACCAGCAAGAACGGUGAUUUCAGCUUUGAUGAAGUCUUUAAAGUCUCACUAAAAUAGUCCUUUAAAACCACACGGACGUAGUCGAGUGAUACAUCAGGUUUGGAAAGGUUCUAAAUGUCCCAGAUUUGAAACUUAUCACUUAAAUUUAGAUUUAAAACUUAUCACUUAAAUUUACCAAUUUGUGUGGUCAUAUAGUGUGGAUGUCUAACUUCCAUGUAGAAGCAAUCUGGUUUAUCUGUCACUGGUAGGCCAGCCUCCAAAGAAUUAAUCGAGUCUUCGGGUUCGAUCAAGCUUGGGUUAUCAUCAGACAAAAAAAAAGUCAUUUAACCAUAAACAUUGAAUAAUAAUCUAUAUUGGAUAGCAAAAUAAUACUAGCUAGUAGCUACAUGUAAUAAAGGGCGCAACUGUAUUAUUGAAUGCAAUACAGUAGUAGUUUAGAAGAAUUUCCAAAUGAUGGAAGAAUUAUUGAAACUUUCCUUUGGCGGCAUAAAGGUGAAAUAUAUAUAUGAUAUAUAAUUAAAAUUAUAUUGAAAUUUCGUGCUAUAUCUAUAAUGAAAAGAUACUUGAUAGAGUUACGUUGUAAGUCUUAGGUCUUUUUCUCAUUUGGAUGCUUGACCAUAUGCAUUAUACAUUACGUAUAGUAAUUAUUCAAAGAUACCUACCACUCCUUGGUGUGCCGUCGCCAUAUAUACAAUACUUGUCCAUACCAUCGUAUUCGAGUAAAUAUACGUAUCAAAACAAAAAUAAUAUUAUUAAUCUUUUAUUGUUUUGGGGGUUUCUGGUUAUGACUUUAAUAACUUACUAUAUACAUGCCGUUGUUUGUACAUUUACAUGUAUACAUGCACAUGGGGAGCUAUGUCGAGUGACUUGAGUCUACUCUCUCGUUUAUUUAAUCCGAUUCUCUGUUAUCAUAUAAAUUUUCUCUACAUGAUAAUAUAUAACAAUCAAUAAAUGAGUUCUAACUUAAACGAGGCACCCCCAUCUGUCUCUUUAUAAACAAAGAAUAUUAAAACCAAAUUUCUAAUUUUGGUCCAACAUGCUGCAUGUGAUCAGGUUUUAUAGAUCAAACAUGACAAUGUGUAUAUAACAUGUAAAAUUAUUCAUAUCUACAGAAAAAGCAAGACAAUAUGUUUUUUUUUUUUUUUUAAAGGGCAUUCUAUUUAAAAAGACAAAGUAUUAGAUCACAUAGUUUGGAAAAGUUUGAUACAUAAAGUAGAAAAUAAAGAGCUAAUAAACCCAAAAGAUUAGUACAACUCUUUAGUUUGACCAAGAUAAGAAUGAUACUUGUCCGCUUGAUUUAGGAACUACGACCCCUACGGUCUCGUUUCCCUUUUCCACGAACUGUGAACCAUUCGUUUCCUUGAUAUUUUUGUGUAGGCUUAACCAACCUACCGCUUCUUGUCAUACUUCCAAAUUCAUCCAUUUGUUCGGUAAUACAGAGAUCACUCUCUAUAUCACCAAGCUCUUGGUUGGAUUCAGUUGAAAGAAGGGUCAUGGUUAAAGGAUCAUUUCCUGAGAAUACCCUCACUGAUGAUAAUAUCUGAUGGAACAUUGUCCAUAAUUUGGUGGAAAGUGGGAGAAGAUGAUGAACCUGCUAAUGUAGCUACUAGAAUAGAUUUGGCUUCCAAAGAUGAGUGAGAGACAGUAGAGCUAUCCUUCUGAGUAGUAGCUAUCGGAGAGUGAGCAGGGAAGUGUGGUGGCGUUGAAAGAACCUGCUCAACACCAGCUUGGGUUUCCAUUUCUGAAUUUUCAACUUGUACCAUCUCAUGAUCUGAGACAACAGUGAACUGACCUUAUUCUUUAUCGGUUUGACUCUUUGGUGAUUCAUUAGACAAAUCUUCAGUGUGACUUGUUUCUUGAACAGCUGGGAUAAGACACCUUCUUUCCUUAUGUCCUAAUUGCCCACAUCUGCCGCAAAUAUUCGGGAUCCAAGUGUACUCAACAUCCACCAAAAAUAUAUUACCUUGUUUGUCAUCUAAAGCAAUUUGCUUUGGGAAGGGCUUAUCAAGUUCUACUCCAACCAGCAGCUUUGCUUCUCCCAAACAAGUCGGAUCAAGGCGAGGUUUGUGCGUUUGCAUAAGCUCACCAAGUCCUGAUGCAACAUGGCUGAGGCCUAAUCUUGAGUAGCAAGACAAUAUGUUUGGCCCAGAGUUAUGGUUGGAAUGUCAUUGAUGUUCUUGGAGUACUUUGUUGUUGGUACAAGAGUAGUUUUCCAUGAUAAAAAAUAAUGAAUUUAACUGUUUUGCAAGAACGCAAAUGUAUUUGUUACAAAGAUUUCAUUAUAUGCUCAAAAAUUAAGUUUUUAUAGUUUAUAAUUGCCAGAGUUUAAAGGAAGUACAUUCGAAUGGUGUCAAUGCGGGACCGGUCACAAGCGAGAAAUUGUGUCACGAUUUGACAUUAACUACUGCGACGUGAAUUGUUAAUACACUCUGGGGUAACUAUUUUUUAUGAAUGAUUCUCUAAUAACGUCUGCUAACUAUCUGUUUAGUAGCAGCUGAAGAUACCAUAUUCGUAAUAUUUACUGCUAAAUUUAGUGCCAAUCAUACUAAAUACCUGUUUGGUAGCACCUAAAGAGACCAUAUGUUAUUCGUCAUAUUUACUGCAAAAUUUAGUGCUAAUCAUACGCGAAAGAUUUGCCACAGUUGAAAGUUUAUUACACCCUCCGUUUCAAAAAAAUCUAUAUUUUAGAAAAAAAAUUGUUUCAAAAAAAUAUAUAUAUUACAUUUCAAUACAUAAAUUAAUUGUAAAUUGUAAACUUAAAAAACAUAAUGGUGUUUAUAAAGAUUUUAUUGGUUAAAAGUAUGGGGAACAGUUGAUAAAGAUGCAUUAUAGUAACUAAAAUCUGAUAUCUUUUUUUAAUAAAUGUGAAAAACCUAAAACUUACGUAUCUUUUUGAGACGGAGGGAGUAUCGUAUCAAUAAAUCAUAAAACUGUUCCAAUUUGUAAAACAGCUCUACGGCAACCGGCAGGGACAGGCUUUAACUGUUUCACAAAAAUAUAGUAAUAUAGUUUUGUUCUAAUUCUUGAUUAUUAAUAAUUUUAGCAACUCUUUAUUUCAUAUCCAAACGUUCAUCAGCUUUCCGCAAUAUACAAGGUUCGGUAUUUUAUUAUUGAAUAUUGACCAACCUAAUAACAAGAUGUCGGAUUUUGGAGCAUAAGCAAAGAAAUCGAACGUUUACGGUAUCAUAAUUUUAAGCGAAAAUUUCCGUUGUAUAUAGGGUAUUAAAAACAUAAAUAACAAAAGCACAAAUUUUUAAGUUAGCAUAGAGCAUCAAGAAAAAUUGAGAAUAUCGCGGCAUUGUGUCGGAUGCAAUCAUUCUUACUCUUGUUUAUUUCAUCACUAGAGAGAGAGAGGUAAGCAUAUUCCGCAUAUAUUAACUCUUAACAUACGAUAUAUGUCACGGGAAGACAUUAGAUUAGUCGACUACUUCCUCCGUUUCACUAAGAUAGAUGUUUUAUAAAAAAAAAUUGUUUUACAAAGAUAGAAUUAUAAAAAAAAAUUGUAAACUUCAAUAAAAUUUAUUAAAUUUAUUGAAUUACUAUUGGUUAAAAGUUAUUAAAACUUGAAAAUUACAGAAAACGAUACAUUUAUUAUAGUGAUUUAAAAUAUUUUUUUUAAUAUGUACGGAAAUACUAUAAAAUUUAUCUUUGUGGAAGGGAUCGAGUAUGUUAACUAUCACAUUUGUGUUAAAACUGUCUUAAUCCGUUCUGGUAGCAGGUACGUUGUUCAAUCAUUUUCGUAACCCAUUAGAAUUAAAGAUAUAACAGGCAUGAAUAAUUUAUAUCUUAAAUCUUCUUUAAAAUAUAUUUGUAUUUAGCGGUUUAUAAACAAGUCAACUUGACUGAACACAUUUAAAUUCAGUACUAAUAAAUUAUAGCCUAAAGUAAUAGCGUCUAGCACAUAUUUUCAAUUGCUAUUCAUAUACUGUAUAAAUUAUUGUCUCUAUUAUAGUAUACUACAAAGUAAAAUGCUAAGACCAUAUUGAUCAAUGCAUGUUCUUAUGGUAGGGUUCUCAGUGUAAUAUAUAAUACGUCUCUUAGUUUUUAACUAAAAAAUAUUAAAAAACGUCUCUUAAAUACGAGACAUAAAAAACGUCUCUUAACAAAAAAAUAUCAAAUCAUACUCUAAAUAUUCAAAUUAGUCUCCUCCAUUAAUCAUGCUCUAAGAUUAUUUUUGUUUGGUCAAAAAAAAGAUUAGAUAUUUUAUUCAACGUUUAUUGUUUAGUAGUGUUGUGUUAUGUUAUGUAUAUCACAAGCAAGUCAUCACACUAGCAAGCUUUGAAACCCUUUGUUAGGAAAAUUCUUCGAAAUGAAAAUUUCAUUAAACAGACUAACCUGCGUUUUCUUUAAAACAUAAUACAUUAACCUUAGUAUUCUUUCUUUUGUCUGAGUUAAUUAAAGAUAGAAUACAAUAUAUUUUUUUAUCGGUUUUCUUUAUCAGUAUAUAUGAAGAAAUGACGGUAUUCUCAAUGAUUCACUAUAUCAGCGUAUAUAUAUACAAGCGCUUGAGUUACAUACUACAAUCUUGCUGUUUCUUUAUUCACCAAGAAAAAACACAAUCAUAAGCUAAAGGCCUGAGCUUAGUGUAAAUGUGAAUAUGUAGGAGACAGAGCAAAGAAAGAGAAACAUCUUGUACUCUUGACCAUGUCCUCUUUUUCCUUUUCUUUAAGUUUUGGUAGUCACAGUAAAUACUUGCUUGAAAGUCAAUGAUAAUUGUAAUAUGCCUUUUCACAGAUCUUUUUUCAUUACACAGACAGAACAAAAACAAUGAGUUAUAGCCACAAAUCUAAUAGGCUUACAUGAAGAAUAUCUCUUCUAAGCUGGGCUUUUACGUUUUUGAGGGCUAAAACGUUUCCAAAAGUCACACUAUACAAAUAUCAGUCAAUCACAUACUUAGAGCAUCUGCAACAGUGAAUCCUCUAUGGAGUUCACACAGAUUUCCAGAAAAAAAAUAUUAAAAUAAUAAAUAGUGUUGAACCCCAUCUCUUUCCAGCUCUUCCCACUAAACCUCUGUCCAACGAGUUCAACACUGUUUCGCGGACUCCACGACACGUGGCGGUCUGCAACUGAUUCGAUUUUUUUAUUUUUUUAAAUCAAACAGUAAAACAAAAAUAAUAAUAAAAAAUUAAAAACAUGAAUUCUAAGAAAAUUUCACUGAUGCAGAUGCUCUUACAAUAAGGUAGAAACGAUAUAAACAUUCUUUGCUAAGCAAUCACAGGGCUUCACGUGUCCAACGACGAUCGAUCAAUCUUUCAUCACUAUAACCUUAAAUGUAUAAUAUUUACACAAACACCACUUCCUCCAAUACUUUUCAAUGCCCCGAUUCGAAAAGCUGUGAACGUCCCGAUUCGGUAGGUUUGAAUGAAGGAACAUUAGUACAAGUCUUUCCCGUACCUAAAUAAAGGUCUGAAAGGUAAUUACCCAAAUCCUUAGGGACGUAUCUAACAAUAUCCUCCCAAGUCUCCACGUUGUACUUUUCAUAAAACAACGAAGCAACAUAAGUUAGCUUCUUCGCCACGGAAUCUUUCAAACCCUCUCUCAUUUUCGAAUCCGGCACGACCCAACCGCUCUGCUUCCGAAACGCUUCCUCAAACACCUCGUUGAACCGCUUCAACCGCU